RNAcentral lists this unclassified non-coding RNA (204 nucleotides) under air metagenome. RNAcentral describes it as "partial contains small subunit ribosomal RNA, internal transcribed spacer 1, and 5.8S ribosomal RNA". The stretch from base 1 to 46 matches the Rfam family "Eukaryotic small subunit ribosomal RNA", at positions 1786 to 1831 of the family's 1831-position model. The record is from RNAcentral.
AAGUCGUAACAAGGUCUCCGUAGGUGAACCUGCGGAGGGAUCAUUAGAGAAGCGGCCCUCCUCGCGUCCGAGAGGGGGUGCCUGACUACUACCCUGUGCACCUGUGACUCGCGAGAGUCUAACCCCUUUUUUUAAAUGCAAGUGAGAGAAUGUAACAAAGACAAAAAAAAAGAAAAACUUUCAACAACGGAUCUCUUGGCUCUC